This 501-nucleotide ribosomal RNA is filed under the name uncultured eukaryote. Its description in RNAcentral is "eukaryotic LSU rRNA". It matches the Rfam family "Eukaryotic large subunit ribosomal RNA", at positions 859 to 1355 of the family's 3401-position model. The record is from RNAcentral.
AAACUCAGGUGGAAGGGCGCAGCGGUACUGACGUGCAAAUCGUUCGUCAGACUUGAGUAUAGGGGCGAAAGACUAAUCGAACCAUCUAGUAGCUGGUUCCCUCUGAAAUUUCUCUCAGGAUAGCUGGAACAAUUUCAAGCAGUUUUAUCAGGUAAAGCGAAUGAUUAGAGGACUCGGAGCUCAAAAGAGCUUUUGACCUAUUCUCAAACUUUUAAAUUGGUAAGAUCUAUUAGUUCUCUUAAUUGAACUGGUAGGCAGAAUGCAUUGUUCCAAGUGGGCUUAUCGUGGUAAGCAUGUUAAGCAAUGAGGGAUGAACCUAACGCUGAGAUAAGGCGCCAAAAUUCCCGCUCAUCAGAUACCAUAAAAGGUGUUGAUUCAUAUAGACAGCAGGACGGUGGCCAUGGAAGUCGGAAUCCGCUAAGGAGUGUGUAACAACUCACCUGCCGAAUGAAUUAGCCUGAAAAUGGAUGGCGCUGAAGCGGGAUGCCGAUACUCAGCCAU